RNAcentral lists this non-coding RNA (28 nucleotides) under Mus musculus (house mouse). The record is from RNAcentral. Lineage: Eukaryota; Metazoa; Chordata; Mammalia; Rodentia; Muridae.
UGCAAAGUCCAUGAAAGUGCCACUAGAG